This 250-nucleotide ribosomal RNA is filed under the name uncultured bacterium. Its description in RNAcentral is "partial 16S ribosomal RNA". It matches the Rfam family "Bacterial small subunit ribosomal RNA", at positions 524 to 773 of the family's 1533-position model. The record is from RNAcentral.
AACGUAGGAGACGAGCGUUAUCCGGAUUUACUGGGCGUAAAGCGCGUGCAGGCGGCAUGGCAAGUUGGAUGUGAAAGCUCCCGGCUUAACUGGGAGAGGUCGUUCAAUACUGCCAGGCUUGAGAGUGGUAGAGGGAAGCGGAAUUCCGGGUGUAGUGGUGAAAUGCGUAGAUAUCCGGAGGAACACCAGUGGCGAAAGCGGCUUCCUGGCCCAUUUCUGACGCUCAGACGCGAAAGCUAGGGUAGCAAAC